RNAcentral lists this ribosomal RNA (497 nucleotides) under uncultured bacterium. RNAcentral's name for it is "partial 16S ribosomal RNA". It matches the Rfam family "Bacterial small subunit ribosomal RNA", at positions 28 to 507 of the family's 1533-position model. The record is from RNAcentral.
GAUGAACGCUGGCGGCGUGCCUAAUACAUGCAAGUCGAGCGAACGGACGAGAAGCUUGCUUCUCUGAUGUUAGCGGCGGACGGGUGAGUAACACGUGGAUAACCUACCUAUAAGACUGGGAUAACUUCGGGAAACCGGAGCUAAUACCGGAUAAUAUUAUGAACCGCAUGGUUCAAAAGUGAAAGACGGUCUUGCUGUCACUUAUAGAUGGAUCCGCGCUGCGUUAGCUAGUUGGUAAGGUAACGGCUUACCAAGGCAACGAUGCAUAGCCGACCUGAGAGGGUGAUCGGCCACACUGGAACUGAGACACGGUCCAGACUCCUACGGGAGGCAGCAGUAGGGAAUCUUCCGCAAUGGGCGAAAGCCUGACGGAGCAACGCCGCGUGAGUGAUGAAGGUCUUCGGAUCGUAAAACUCUGUUAUUAGGGAAGAACAUAUGUGUAAGUAACUGUGCACAUCUUGACGGUACCUAAUCAGAAAGCCACGGCUAACUACGUG